CGGGAAGCUCCGAAAAUAAAUGGCGGCCGCCGGAGGUUGGCAGAUCGGCUAGGCGACAAAAGCAGUGCAGUUAUUCUUUCUUUCUUUUUUUUUAAUUACUCUUCACUCGUGAACUACCCGGUGGACGAGACCGGAUUAUGAAAGACACUAUGACUGCCAUCGAACUGAAGGACCUCGGUAACAAAUUAUUCAGUGCCCGAAAGUACGAAGACGCCAUAUCGUGCUACAGCAAAGCCAUCAUCAAGAGCCCAUCCACGGCCACCUACUUCACCAACCGGGCGCUAUGCUACCUCAAGCUCCAGCAAUGGGAGCUGGCGUGCCAGGACUGCCGGCGCGCGCUCGACCUGGACCCCAGCUCGGUCAAGGGCCAUUUCUUCCUCGGUCAGGCACUGCAGGAGAUGGACAACUACGACGAAGCCGUCAAGUACCUGCAGAGGGCCAACGACCUGGCCCGUGAGCAGAAGCUCAACUUUGGGGACGACAUUGCGUGCCAGCUGCGGCUGGCGCGCAAGCGUCGCUGGCAGCUCAUCGAGGAGAAGCGGCUGCAGCAGGAGAUCGAGCUGCAGACCUACCUCAACCAGCUGAUCCUGCUCGACAAGCAGAAGAGGGUGCAAGAAAUGAGGAUGAAGGGAACACGCGAGGCGGACAUCGAACGGGUGGAGGCUGCACUGGACAAGUACAUAUCAGAGUUGAACAACAUAUUUGCAAAAGUGGACGACAAGCGCAGGAAGCGAGACGUGCCAGACUACCUGUGCGGCAAGAUCAGCUUUGAGAUCAUGCGCGAGCCUGUCAUCACGCCCAGCGGGAUCACCUACGACCGCAGGGACAUCGAGGAGCACCUACAGAGGGUCGGCCACUUCGACCCAGUGACGAGAACACCACUGACCCAGGACCAGCUGAUUCCAAACUUGGCAAUGAAGGAGGUGGUGGACGGCUUCCUCGCGGAAAACGAGUGGGCCCUCGACUACUGAGAACGCCCCAUCCGCCGUGACUUUGCACAGGACCGUGCGCUGUCCCGCCGAAAGUCACCCGCUUCGAUUUCAUGUCACCACCUGCUUUCUUCGCUCUUAACAAGACCGAGCUGGUGGGCGCCUCCAUAAGCUGCUGUGCGUGUGUUACGCAGCUACCAGACGGCGGGCUCUUUCUUUCCUUUUCUUUCUUUUUUUUUUUUUUCUUUGUCCACACCUCUCUCGUCUCAACAUGCCCGCAGCUGGUCGUCAGGUUUCCCCAUGAAAUCGGGUCUUGAACAAGUCCUGCGUAUAGAUCGGUCUCUCGUGUAUAUGAGUGAAUGAUUUAUGCACUCUCACUCCGGUAACAGCUGUGAAUUGCAUUAUGCGAGCCUCUGCUGUAAUGGUUAGUAGCAUGGAUUCACUCACUCUUUGAGCAUUCCGAUUACGAAAUUAAUGAGCCGUUGAAGCAGCAUGUUGUUCGGUCUUGCCUUGAUUCAUUGCACAGUGUCGUAUUCGUUUCACCGAACGUCUUCAACACCAGGACUUGAAAUGCAACUCUUGAUUUCCGUCAGUUUCAAAUGGAAGUGUUACAGUGGGCAACCGGAUGAAGGUCUUGGUCCUGUGUGUAGCUGUACCACACGUGCUUCAUAGAAGCUUGCGCUGAAUAAGUUUCUUGUGUUUUCCUACAAACUUAAAUGAAUAGUUUGAAAUUGCUGGAAGCGGCCUCAUCCACAGUGGACAUUGCGAACAGAGCAGAUGGCGACAAAGGAGACACGAGAAAAGCUGGCACUGUCCCCCUUCUCGUCGUCUGUUCCAUUCUCACUGCGCUGGUCGCGACGACCUCAUGGUUACCACCAUAAGCGUCUGAUGGAAUGUUUUGAAAUUGCGAGGUUCAGGUGAGCUUCUUGUCUAUGUCUGAAGAGGCAGCGGGAAAGUAGACGUGGGUGUGUGCAGCCUGUCAGUCAGUCUUGUCACUUUGUGUCAGUGGCCUGCUGCCUUCUCUCCAACCGCCCAUGUAAAGGUAUACGUUGUACAUACAUGCAGUGUCAUGGGCGUGAUGAACCAUUACUGCCCUAGGGCAUCCGCGUAACUCUUCGAAUGGUCCCAUAGCUCUAGGUUUGCUUGUCCCAUACCGCACUAGCCUUGGCACUUGUACGCUCUACUGCAGCCAUAGAGUCCAAAGUGGCAAAAAAGCCCAGUGGUACCCGGUUCCAGGAAUGCCUGUGUUUAGAACUUGGUGUGUUGUAAACGUAGGUUUGUCUGGGCGUGCCGUUUUGCACACUGUUAUGAAGUGGGGAUCUGGGUUUCCCAUUAUCAAGCCUUGCGUUCACUUGUAUGGCUUUGGUCAGGAGUGUCUAGUGGUGGGGACUGCCGUAAUUCUGCAGCAGUCACCGACACUGGCUUCCUUGCGUCGUAAGUGCGGAAUCGAUGUCAGUACCUUUUCUUUGUCAAGCUGCACAUGAUGAUGAUGAUGUGGUUUGGAUUUCCACAUGUUACACCAACAGAGUGGUGUGGUACAGCCUGUGUCAUCCGUCUUGAUGGCAUUAUGUGACUGUCACCUUGCAUAGCGCCAUCUGCACACACAUGUGGUGAAAGUGACACGAUGUUGCAUUGUUGUUGUUGCUGGCUACAUCGAUUCAGAGUGUUUGAUUUCUUCAAUGGAUUUGGAUGUGGUUUGAUCUUGCAAACAGUCUGGCCGCAAUCUGACUGUUCAACUGAGCACUGGCACUCCAUCUUUCUUUUGACUUUGCAGUUGGCAAGUCAAGACCACCAUUGCUCCAUGUUGAUAAAGGGUGUGUUGAAUGUGCCCUUCCCAGUGCAAUGCCAUCGGCCAUUCUAGCACAUUUUGGGUUGGAAUAAUGUGACGAUUCCAUGCCAGUCCACAUUCACAUUUAGGCAGUGGUGCUAGUGGUGCUCCGUCUACAUUUCGCCAGAAUUAGUCCGUCAUGAGUUAUGGAUGAUAGGAGAGGAACGGAGUCGGGUGAAAGGAUCCCUGUUUUGAAAUCUCAAACACUCGAAGCAAAGAGAGCUAGGGCCAAGGGAACCUACCUCGAGGAGAAAACAGCAGAGGUGUAUUUUAAGCCACUAGCAUUGCAUGGGAUGCAGACAGAAUGUGGUGUCAGUUUGCACUGCUGUGGCUUGAAAUUUGAUUGGCUACUUGCAGCCUCAGCCAGUUUCCGAGCUAUUUGUUAAAUUGAGAGAUGGUUCUGGAUUGAUGACCGCACUGUGAAGACUUUGUAACUCUAUAGGAAACCACAAAAGCCAUGCUUAAUGCUACAUUAAAGUCAAGUAUUAAAUUGAGAUAAAGCAAUAGAUUACUAUUAUUUUUUAUAAUGAAAGUAACUCCAUGAAUGGAAGGAGACAAUUGGUAGCCACUGUGAAAAUGUGACACCAGCUUUGUUGGCACAUAGCAUGACUCCAUUUAUAACCAGUAAACUGUAGUCAAUCACUGAUGAUAAAAAAAGUUGCAUUGCAGCAGAAAACUAACACAGUUGGGUCGUUUUUUGUUGAAUUUGCCAAACUGGCUGGUGCUGCUACGUCACAUGUUUCUAUUGGCACCGUUUUGCGGUAGUGCGGGUAACCUUUCCGUGUGAAGCUCGUGACUCAAAUAGUCGGCAGAGCACGACGUCCGAGGUUGUUGCAGCCAUGUUUGUCGUUGCUGAUCCAAAUUGCGGAUGAAUUGUGUGGCCCUUUAAGUUGCAGUUUUCUCAGAAACUAAGUAAUCUCUUUGCCAGGGGUGGCACCAGGAUUCUUUUGUUGGGAGAACAGAGCAUGAUUGUCCACUUUCGUUACAAUUGUAGGAGGGUGUUCUGUCACUUGGCACUCCGCGGUGCUAGGGGGGGGGGGGGGGGGGUCUGUUAGGGGGCCAAUAGGAAGUAUUGGGGGAUCACUUGGUUUCCCAGAGCCGCUACCGCUCUUGGCACACAAAAAAAAAUUUUCUGGAAGGGUAACACGACAUCAAUGGAUUCAAUGCUUGCCUUUUUGUGUGUCUCAGCAGGGAACGCUAGCAUGCGACAUCCUCCCCACUUGUUUCUUUUCCCGGUGUCGCUUGGUGCUGGAAAUAGCUGCCCAUUGCAUGCAUACGUGGCACAAGCGUGAAAACUCUGCACUGCUGUUGGAAAAUGACCUAGGUCAGUAUUUGACCUAGGUCAGUGUUGACCUGGGUCAAUACUGACCUUGGUCAACACUGACCUGGGUCAACACAAAUGACCCAGGUCAAUGUUGGAAAUGACCCAGGUCAAAAAAGUAUUUGCACAGAGGACACAUAGCACACUAAGUGUCUGCGUUACAGUUGGAACGAAGCAGUCGGCUUUUAUCACGCAACAGUCUUCAGCGCUGCAGGCACCAAGUGUUUGGCAGCAUUUGCUUGCUUUCUCUGUCCGUGAUUAUUCGUGCUUCGGGUAGCUGCUACGCACUAGCUUAAGCGAGGUGCAAGCACUGAAACACUGUGUGAGUGGUGUGUGUAUGUUCAUGCAUUGAAGUACCGAAGGGAAAGUGUGCGUUUGUGAAUGAGAAUCAUAAAUGAUAGUGCCGCUGCCUCCGACAGCAGUCAUGUAUUUGCGCAAGGCAACCAAGGCGACUGUCUGAUCGACGUUGAUGUUGGUACGCAUGCAAGGUAUGAAAGUGAGUGGACUGGGCUGCCACAUCUUUUAUUUCCUUUCUUUCUUUUUUGAGAUCGAGUUAACAGCGAUGUGUGUAAAUAAACACUGGUCGAGUUUCAAACUGUUAAAACAA
This 4685-nucleotide unclassified non-coding RNA is filed under the name Dermacentor andersoni. Its description in RNAcentral is "e3 ubiquitin-protein ligase CHIP-like". The record is from RNAcentral. Lineage: Eukaryota; Metazoa; Arthropoda; Arachnida; Ixodida; Ixodidae.